GAUGAAGAACGUAGUGAAAUGCGAUACGUAGUGUGAAUUGCAGAAUUCAGUGAAUCAUCGAAUCUUUGAACGCACAUUGCACCUCUCGGUAUUCCGGGAGGUAUGCCUGUUCGAGCGUCAUUUGUACCCUCAAGCUCUGCUUGGUGUUGGGUGUUUGUUCCGCCUCUGUGUGUGAACUCGCCUCAAAACAAUUGGCAGCCGGCGUACUUGUUUCGGAGCGCAGCACAUUUUGCGAUCCAGAUCAACGUACAGCGGCAUCCAAGAAGCCUUAUUUAACGCUCUUGACCUCGCAUCAGGUAGGGAUACCCGCUGAACUUAAGCAUAUCAAUAAGCGGAGGA
This 339-nucleotide unclassified non-coding RNA is filed under the name soil metagenome. Its description in RNAcentral is "partial contains 5.8S ribosomal RNA, internal transcribed spacer 2, and large subunit ribosomal RNA". The stretch from base 1 to 120 matches the Rfam family "5.8S ribosomal RNA", at positions 35 to 154 of the family's 154-position model. The record is from RNAcentral.